CAUACAUUCUUGAUUCUACAAACCUCCUCCUUCGUCACCUUCAUAUCCAAGCCUCGCCUCUGAGAGGGUUUAAGCAGUCGGAAACACCAUUGCUCCGCCGCAGCGAUUCCUCUCUUUGUUGUGUGAGCUCGCCAAAUAAUCGGCAAAAUGUAUAGAAGUAGAGCCACCAUACUCACAUCCAAAUCAUUGAGAACUCUAUCAAAGGUACGCAGACAAUCUCAUCAUUUAGAAUCGUUAAAGUUCGUUACUUUUUCAAGAAAUAUCAGCACUGCUACUCAAAUAUCUGAGAUUGACAACUAUAGUGAGUUGAAGGGGGGAAAUAGCAGUGAUUUUCAGCAAAAUCCAGAUGGGGUUUUCAAUUAUAGCUCGAAUAAUACGGGUUCUUUGAAUAAACUAAGCUGGAAGGGUCAGGAAUGGGCAUAUAAUCAGCAGUUGUCUCGUAGCACGGAAGGCGGCGGGAGUUAUAGUGGAAAUUCUAGGAGAAUCGAGCAGAACCCUUGUGGGGUUUAUCCGCAAAAACCUAGAACUGAAUUUCGAGAACCAAAGGAUACCAAUAGGUUUCAGCAGAACCCGCAUGCGGAAAAUGGGAACUUUUCAUCUGGGUAUGUUAAUGUUUCAUCUAGAAAUGAGUUUCAGCAAACUGUUGGGAGAAAUGGGAGUUUAUCCUCAAGCAGUAAUGAUUUCGCUUCUCGAAAGGAUUAUCAAAGUGAUGUAGUUCAUAAUAUAAGUGAUAGUGGUUACCAUGGUGAAAAUUCGUCAAAUUUGCUGCGUAGUUCCAGGUUUGAGGGAGGUUUAGAAGCUCAGCCAAGUCAAAAUGGAGUAUAUGGACAGUAUCAACAGAAUUUAACUGGUUAUUAUGGUGGAAAGAGUGAAAUGUCACAGCAGAAUUUCAGUGGCAGUUACACGAGAAACGUAGGAGUGCCUCAGCAAAACCCUCCCAAUUAUGACCCUGGAAAUGUAAGGAAUGUUCAAUCUGAAAAUUCUGAAACGUAUCCACGAAAUGCAAGUGGGUAUAACAUGGAAAGGCAUACGAAUUCAAGUGGCUACUCAAGGGAAAUGAUGGGGGGAUAUCAGCAAAACUUAAGCGGCUUUAACCCUUCUAGUGCUGGACAUCAAGCUUCUUAUCAAUCUCAGAAUGGAAUAGUAGGCCAUCAAGAAAUGAGAAGUUCAACACCUGUUGAACAGUCGAUUGAUUCUGCUGAUAGCAGCAGUAAAAAAGGUUCAGUUGAUGAGCUCGAUGACUUCUGUAAAGAUGUCAAAAUAAAGGAGGCAGUAGAAGUUUUGCAUUUGUUGGAGCAGCAACAUGUCACAGUCGAUUUGUCUCGAUAUAUUAUGUUGAUGGAUGUGUGUAGUGAGGAUAAAUCCCUUGAGGAUGCUAAAUCAAUUCAUGAGCACCUUGUGAGAUCUCAUCCUCAUCUUGACAUCAAAAUGUACAAUAAGAUUCUUGAAAUGUAUGGAAAAUGUGGCUCCAUCAAUGAUGCCUUCUUGGUGUUUCGAAAAAUGCCUCAGCGUAAUCUGACUUCUUGGGACACAAUGAUUACAUGGCUUGGUAAGAAUGGACUUGGAGAAGAUGCAAUAGAAUUGUUCGGGGAAUUCAAGAAAACUGGGAUGAAACCUGAUGGCCAAAUGUUUCUAGGAGUCUUCCAUGCUUGUAGUGUUGUUGGUGAUAUAGUUGAGGGUAUGUUGCACUUUGAAUCAAUGAGUAAGGAUUAUGACAUUGUUCUCUCCAUGGAGCAAUAUGUGGGAGUGGUAGAUAUGCUGGGAAGUACGGGAUAUCUUGAUGAAGCUAUGGAGUUCAUUGAAAGGAUGCCUAUAGACCCAAGUAUUGAAGUAUGGGAAACCAUGAUGAAUCUCUGUAGAAUUCACGGGAACUUGGAGCUUGGGGAUCGUUGUGCUGAGAUUGUUGAGCUCCUAGACCCAUCUCGUUUGGAUGAACAGUCAAAGGCAGGUUUUUUGGAUGUAAAAGCAUCAGACAUCGCUAAGGAGAAAGAGAAGAAGAAAUCUGCCCAAAGUCUUCUUGAGGCUAGAAGCAAAGUUCAUGAAUAUCGUGCAGGGGAUAGGUCACAUCCCGAUCAUGAGAAGAUAUAUGCAUUGCUUAGGGGUUUAAAGCAGCUAAUGAAGGAGGAUGGUUAUAUACCAGAGACUAAGUUUGUGUUACAUGACGUAGACCAAGAAACUAAAGAGGACGCUUUAAUGGCUCACAGCGAGAGAUUGGCUUUUGCUCAAGGUCUUAUGAAUAGCUCUGCACGAUCACCAAUCCGGAUUAUAAAGAAUCUGCGUGUCUGUGGUGAUUGCCAUAAUGCAUUGAAGAUUGCUUCAAAGCUUGUUGGUCGGGAAAUUAUCAUGCGAGAUGCUAAGAGAUUUCAUCAUUUAAAAGAUGGAUUGUGCUCGUGUCGGGAUUAUUGGUGAAGAUCCUACCCUUCAGGAGGUCACGGGUUCAAGCCUUGGAAACAGCAUCUGACAGAAAUGCAAGCUUUAGCACAACCAAGACUCAAGAGUGUAGAGCAAAGCUAUCAUUCAUAGCAGAUGUUAUGUUUUCUACUUACUCUUAUCAGCUGUGAGUGUCGCGCUGUUCAAAGAUCGGCAAGUACCUACCAUAUUUGAUGCCACAUGAUCUCUUGAUUUGGUUAGUGCUGGUGAAGUGUCAAUAUGCAUAAGUUGUCCAGAAAGGAUACAAAGGUUAGCUCAAUAGCAGAUACUUGGUCAUUAUUCUAAAGAUUGUGAAGGACGAACGACCAAGUUUUUGACUCAUCGAGAAACAUAAAGAGCUUCUAUACUCUGUUCACCCCGGAACAAGACCAGACGAGAAAACCAAUCUUCUCAAACAGGAUUAGCUAGACUGUUGUCCAUGAAGUGGAGUUGUUUUCUAAGUCUGAAGUUACUAACUGUUUCACAUUCUGAAGUAUAGAGAUUAAUAGGAUAGGAUCCUUAGGGUUCAAAAUAUUUUCAUUUGAGUACUUCUAUUCUUUUUAUGGAACAGUAAUAUUAGUAACAUGGCUGUUGUAUCCUUGUGCUUUGGUGGUCUCCUUUUUCAUGUUUGAACACAGUUGGAGUUGGUUCAAUUGUCCAAUUUCAACAGUUGAAAUCAGAACCUGCUCAUUUUGUUAUGCUGCUAUUGUUUACACUUAUUGGUUAAUGUCCAUGGACUUCUACUACUGGUUCAGUUCACCACAUGUAAUUAUUUUGGAAGUCAUAUCAUAAAAUAUAUAAUUCAUACAUUUGUUUGUUU
Solanum dulcamara is the source of this 3229-nucleotide RNA transcript. It is a transcript of the gene named pentatricopeptide repeat-containing protein At4g32450, mitochondrial-like, with no coding region annotated. NCBI's taxonomy places the organism in Eukaryota, Viridiplantae, Streptophyta, Magnoliopsida, Solanales, Solanaceae. The record is from RefSeq and is a predicted model, not a curated record. The transcript has 3 exons.